Molecule: ribosomal RNA, 391 nt
Filed under: uncultured bacterium
Lineage: Bacteria
Description: bacterial SSU rRNA
Rfam family: Bacterial small subunit ribosomal RNA
Source: RNAcentral
GACGAACGCUGGCGGCGUGCCUAACACAUGCAAGUCGAGCGGUAAGGCCCUUUCGGGGGUACACGAGCGGCGAACGGGUGAGUAACACGUGGGUGACCUGCCCUCAGCUCUGGGAUAAGCCUGGGAAACCGGGUCUAAUACCGGAUAUGACUCCAUGACGCAUGUUGGUGGGGUGGAAAGCCUUGUGCGGCUGAGGAUGGGCCCGCGGCCUAUCAGCUUGUUGGGUGGGGUGAUGGCCUACCAAGGCGACGACGGGUAGCCGGCCUGAGAGGGCGACCGGCCACACUGGGACUGAGACACGGCCCAGACUCCUACGGGAGGCAGCAGUGGGGAAUCUUGCGCAAUAGGACGAAAGCCUGACGCAGCGACGCCGCGUGAGGGAUGACGGCCU